RNAcentral lists this long non-coding RNA (1042 nucleotides) under Rattus norvegicus (Norway rat). RNAcentral describes it as "IPoC". The record is from RNAcentral. Lineage: Eukaryota; Metazoa; Chordata; Mammalia; Rodentia; Muridae.
UGUUAGUGGUGAGAGCUACAAAGAAAGAUUGAAUCCUUCAAGUUGAUGAAUUGAUUUCAUUAGCUUACCAAAAGAAGUAAACAAAAACACUCUGACAAUUAAAACCAAACCUAAACCUAUACACAUAACAACAAACAUGUCAGUGGCGUGCAAAAGAAACAAAUAUAAACCGUCCUCUGCAGUAUAUUACCAAAUUUCUGGACAAACAGAUACAACUCAAAAUAAGAGCAUCCUCCAUUCUUUUGCAAGACAUCAAAUAGUAUAUAAAAUAGGAAUAACUAGAAAAUGUAACAUUCCUCGACGGAACUAAAAAUUCCAAAUCUGCAAAUAACCGGAUUCCGUCUCACUGUUUAAAGUUAUGAAAAAAUUCAUCUAGGUACAUUGUAAUAAUAAGCCGCUAAAUGGAAACAUCGGUUGAAGAGAAUAUCAAUGUCGGGUGAUAACUUUAGUGGCUCAAUAGACCAAUCUUAAUUUAUCAAAAAAUGUUACGAACUAUUAUCUUACUAAUAACGAUAGAUGAUAAUUUACAGUAAAUUCCUAAGAUUUUCCUUUAUAAUUAGGUUAUUCAAGAUUUAUCAAUUCUGCUUUUUCUCGCCUCCAUUUCUCCUUUCACCCCAUCCCGGCAACAUUAAGUUUUUACUCAGUCGUGAAAUUUACGCCCUCGGAAUAGGCAUUACACCCCUUGUGUAUUUUAAAACAGAAAUAUUAUACUUUUUUACUUAAUUUUGGAAUUAUUUUCACACGUCAACGAUCGAGUUCAACUAUGUGAAUAAUGUUUGUAAUCAAAAGCGUAUAGCCACACUACUGAGGGAGGGCAAGAGCGCCGGCGCGAAGGCGGAGACAAGGCGGCACCGGAGGGGGGGGCCGGGCGGCGGCAGAGAGGCGCGGAGAGCGAGAACCCCAAGGCCAACAGAGGAAGAACAGGGCAAAGAAGCCAGCCGAGAAGCCAAGACCACCCCACAAAAGCCGGACGAAACACAGAACAACGCGGAGGAACGCCGACACCACCCCGAAUAAACACCAAAAAAAAAAAAAAAAAAAA